CGGACGGGUGAGUAAUGUAUGGGGAUCUGCCUGAUGGCGGGGGAUAACUACUGGAAACGGUAGCUAAUACCGCAUAAUGUCUACGGACCAAAGCGGGGGACCUCCGGGCCUCGCGCCAUCAGAUGAACCCAUAUGGGAUUAGCUAGUAGGUGGGGUAACGGCUCACCUAGGCGACGAUCCCUAGCUGGUCUGAGAGGAUGACCAGCCACACUGGAACUGAGACACGGCCCAG
RNAcentral lists this ribosomal RNA (232 nucleotides) under uncultured bacterium. Its description in RNAcentral is "partial 16S ribosomal RNA". It matches the Rfam family "Bacterial small subunit ribosomal RNA", at positions 99 to 334 of the family's 1533-position model. The record is from RNAcentral.